This 96-nucleotide non-coding RNA is filed under the name human gut metagenome. Its description in RNAcentral is "Glycine riboswitch". It matches the Rfam family "Glycine riboswitch aptamer", at positions 9 to 86 of the family's 94-position model. Rfam says of the family: This family represents the bacterial glycine riboswitch. The record is from RNAcentral.
UAUCUCUGGAGAGUCUCUAUCUUUUUAGGAGCGCCGAAGGUGUACCAUAAGCAGCAAAACUGCUUGUGAAUCUCUCAGGCAAAAGGACAGGGCAUA